UAGCAUCAUCAUCACUUUGUGUUGUGAUCCUGUUAGCUCUCACAAAUUAAGCAGCGUGAGGCCAGGAGACUACUUGGAUGGGAGACUGCUAAGGAAUAUGCACAUGCUGCAAG
RNAcentral lists this ribosomal RNA (113 nucleotides) under Chrysemys picta bellii (western painted turtle). The record is from RNAcentral. Lineage: Eukaryota; Metazoa; Chordata; Testudines; Emydidae.